RNAcentral lists this long non-coding RNA (928 nucleotides) under Daucus carota (carrot). Its description in RNAcentral is "long non-coding RNA (DCAR_LNC001717)". Lineage: Eukaryota; Viridiplantae; Streptophyta; Magnoliopsida; Apiales; Apiaceae. The record is from RNAcentral.
UUUCUAAUGUGUGCUCAAGUGCACACAAUAAGCACCAAUUUUCAUGAAAAUGAUUUGUUUUGAUUGGUGGAAUUGAUGUAAAUGCAGAGGGGCCAUUUACAUUUAUUAUCCAUCCACCAAUCAAAAGUUAGAAUUUUCAUGAGAAUUAGUGAAAAUUCGUUUGGAAAUAUAUGUAAUAAUUGGUCGGGCAUUGACCAAGACUGUAACGUGUCUCUGUUUCUAACAAUAUAUAAAUAUUUUGUUAUCUAUUCGUCCUUUAUUUUAUACUAUUUGAGUUUUUUACACAUAAUACAAAAUAUACAAACAAGAAUAUUAUAUACAUCUGUUUAUAUUAAAGGCCCAAAAUGAUAAGUAGAAAAAUAUUUCAAUCAAAAAAAUUUAAAUAAUGUGUAUACAUACAUUAUCCGCAAUAAAUUUAUAAAACAUAUCCAUGACCUCCACCAACAGCAGCAGAGUCCGUGUGCUGAAGUUUCCAUUGCGGAAAUGGCGAAAAAAAAGAAGACGAAGUUUCAGAAGUAAACAAAAAAUUGCGAAACAGUUGAGUCUGAAGCCGGAGCUGCCCGAGGCGCGGGCCUGGAUAACGAGAGCUCGUGUCUUAAAAUUGACAUGAAAACUCUGUAGUCUUCCAAGAACUCCACCAUUUUCCCCACCCUUAUCAUCUCUCUCCCUUGCUCUCUGUAUACGAUCUCUCUACCUUAUAGUCUGCAGAGAGAUUAUAGAAAGAGACGUGUUCUGCGUGUGGUUAUCUCUCUGUACACGCUGAACAAAAUGUAGAAGCAAAACCUUGGAGCGUGGUAGUUGAGAAAAACUGAAUGUGGAAGGUUUAUUUUUGGGUAGCCGAUUAUAUAUAGCCAUAGAGGUGGGUAGGAGAUAUGAAUGAAGGCCAAAGUUUAUACCUUUCGCGGCCCACACGCUUAAUUAUAUUGAC